Molecule: transfer RNA, 72 nt
Organism: Vittaforma corneae ATCC 50505
Lineage: Eukaryota; Fungi; Microsporidia; Nosematidae
Rfam family: tRNA
About the family: Transfer RNA (tRNA) molecules are approximately 80 nucleotides in length.
Source: Rfam
GCCCCAAUGGCUCAGUGGUAAAGCACUCGGUUUGGGUCCGAGAGAUCCCGGGUUCGAUCCCCGGUUGGGGCC